This 469-nucleotide ribosomal RNA is filed under the name uncultured bacterium. RNAcentral describes it as "bacterial SSU rRNA". It matches the Rfam family "Bacterial small subunit ribosomal RNA", at positions 335 to 799 of the family's 1533-position model. The record is from RNAcentral.
ACUCCUACGGGAGGCAGCAGUAAGGAAUAUUGGUCAAUGGACGCAAGUCUGAACCAGCCAUGCCGCGUGAAGGAUGAAGGUCCUCUGGAUUGUAAACUUCUUUUAUAGGGGGCGAAAAAGGUUUUCUUAAAUCACUUGACAGUACCCUAUGAAUAAGCACCGGCUAACUCCGUGCCAGCAGCCGCGGUAAUACGGAGGGGUGCAAGCGUUAUCCGGAUUCACUGGGGUUUAAAGGGUGCGUAGGCGGGUAGGUAAGUCAGAGGUGAAAUCCUGGAGCUUAACUCCAGAACUGCCUUUGAUACUAUCUAUCUUGAAUAUGGUGGAGGUAAGCGGAAUAUGUCAUGUAGCGGUGAAAUGCAUAGAUAUGACAUAGAACACCUAUUGCGAAGGCAGCUUACUACGCCUAUAUUGACGCUGAGGCACGAAAGCGUGGGGAUCAAACAGGAUUAGAUACCCUGGUAGGAUAGCG